Molecule: long non-coding RNA, 604 nt
Organism: Cynara cardunculus var. scolymus (artichoke)
Lineage: Eukaryota; Viridiplantae; Streptophyta; Magnoliopsida; Asterales; Asteraceae
Exons: 2
Source: RefSeq, a predicted model, not a curated record
CUUCAUCUCUCUCUCUCUCCACCAUUUAUUCCUUCUCUCUAAAAAUAUUUUCACAAGCAACAUCUCUUUUCGUUAGAUCCACAAACAACAGAUUUCUACUGUUUGUUUCAGUUGCACACGCAUCAGAAUGAAGAAACCAGGAUUCUUUGCAGCGUCCAUGGCUGCCGCUUCGGCUACUACUGCCAUGUCUGUCUCCAAUUCUAAAAAUCACGAGGAUCACGUAGGAUCGGCGAAAAACGGUGAUGAUUCGUCUCCUGAGAAAGCGAAUCGUCGCUUGGAGAAAUUCGCGCCGAGGUUUGAUGGAUUGAGGUUUAUUGAAACUUUAGUAACUGCUCAUCGAUAAGAAGGUUAUGAGAUCUCUCCAAUUUUUUCGGUUUUUUCCUUCCUGUUCAUGUCUGAUUUGGAGGACGAAGCUGUUGCCAUGGCGCCGAAGGCUAUUUGGUAUUAUUAUUAUUAUUAUUACUAUUAUUACUAACAUAACAAAUCUAAAGUUACUAUCGAUUGAUUGUGGUUCAUAAAUUCUGAUAUAGAAUUUGCAUCUGCAGUUUCUUGUGAGUUUUCUUAUUCUUAUUGAUUCAAUUAAAGUAAUAUGUUCACAUGUCUA